GACGAACGCUGGCGGCGUGCUUAACACAUGCAAGUCGAACGGAAAGGCCCUGCUUUUGUGGGGUGCUCGAGUGGCGAACGGGUGAGUAACACGUGAGUAACCUGCCCUUGACUUUGGGAUAACUUCAGGAAACUGGGGCUAAUACCGGAUAGGAGCUCCUGCUGCAUGGUGGGGGUUGGAAAGUUUCGGCGGUUGGGGAUGGACUGGCGGCUUAUCAGCUUGUUGGUGGGGUAGUGGCUUACCAAGGCUUUGACGGGUAGCCGGCCUGGGAGGGUGACCGGACACAUUGGGACUGGGAUGCGGCCCAGACUCCUACGGGAGGCAGCAGUGGGGAAUAUUGCACAAUGGGCGGAAGCCUGAUGCAGCAACGCCGCGUGCGGGAUGACGGCCUUCGGGUUGUAAACCGCUUUCGCCUGUGACGAAGCGUGAGUGACGGUAAUGGGUAAAGAAGCACCGGCUAACUACGUG
RNAcentral lists this ribosomal RNA (468 nucleotides) under uncultured bacterium. Its description in RNAcentral is "partial 16S ribosomal RNA". It matches the Rfam family "Bacterial small subunit ribosomal RNA", at positions 28 to 507 of the family's 1533-position model. The record is from RNAcentral.